UCCUCCCGGAUGCACCUGGAUAGAGUACUCGGCUACGAACCGAGCGGUCGGAGGUUCGAAUCCUCCCGGAUGCACCA
This 77-nucleotide transfer RNA is filed under the name Salmonella enterica subsp. enterica serovar Newport. Its description in RNAcentral is "tRNA-Arg". The stretch from base 12 to 74 matches the Rfam family "tRNA". Rfam says of the family: Transfer RNA (tRNA) molecules are approximately 80 nucleotides in length. The record is from RNAcentral. Lineage: Bacteria; Pseudomonadati; Pseudomonadota; Gammaproteobacteria; Enterobacterales; Enterobacteriaceae.